GUCAGCUUCUGCGGCUGAUUGUCUGUCAUAAAAAAGCAUCAGUCGGUUAUCUAAUUGUUAUUUAUUAUCAGCACAUGAACACGUUCGCUUUGUUUUUCCGGCCGCCUUACCACUGUGCCGUUUAAUCAUAUCCAAAUAACAUGCAAACGAAAGAACAGUGAGCAUUACUUUCCGUCAAAUCGCCCGAAGUUGACUUCUACAAUCGGCAAGCACCAAGCACAAACAUGGAAUAUUUCAGUGGUUCCAAGAAGUUACUGCUAUUUAUUCUCGAAGACUGGAAACUGCUCCUCUUUCUUACUGUUUUAUUUGGAUUAUAUUUCUAUUAUACAAGUACGUUUGACUUUUUCGAGAAGAAAGGCAUUCCAUUUAAAAAACCAGUGAUAUUUUUGGGAAACUUGGGGCCUAGAUUAAGGGGAACACAGUCAUUCCACGAAUUUCAAUUGGAAGCAUAUAAGAACUUCAAGGGUAAUCGAUAUGGUGGAUUAUUCGAAGGAAGAAGGCCCCUCCUAACAAUUAUGGAUCCGGAACUCAUAAAGGCGAUAACAAUUCGUGACUUUGAUCACUUCACCGACCGCAUCACACUGAAUGCCAAAGAACCUAAGUUCUGGAGUCGUUCACUUCUUAACUUGAAGGGAGCUGAAUGGAAAGGUGUUCGCAGUACACUCACACCAGUGUUCAGCUCCUCACGUCUAAGAAAUAUGCUUCCACUCAUUAAAUUGUGCUCGACGCAAAUGGUGGAUUUCUUAAAGCAAUAUGAUAAGAAAGAUGUUGAGAUGAAGAAAACAAUAGGGCACUUUACAUUAGAAGUAAUUGGGGCAUGUGCGUUUGGGAUCAAAUGCGAUGCUUUAUCAGAUGAGAAUGCACACUUCUUUAAUGUAGCUGAAAAGUUUGACUACAUGCCUUUACACAAAAGACUGAUGUUAUUCUUUAUUUUGAUAUUUGUGCCGCAGUUGAUUAAGAUUCUGAACUUUUCAUUUCUUAAUUUGACAUCGGCAAAAGAGCUUGUACGUAUUCUGAAAGCAGCAAAAGCUGAGCGAAAGAAAUCUGGUAUUAAGAAAAAUGACUUUCUUCAAAUUCUGAUUGAUUUUUCUGAAAAAGAAAGGUCUGAAUCUGAAAAAACCAAGUCUGAUAUUCAUCUAGACGACGACACAGUAGACGCACAGUUGCUCUUGUUUCUAAUCGCCGGCUAUGAGACGUCAAGUACUUUGCUAUCUUUUGCGGUACAUGUGCUGGCUACCAAGCCCGAAUUGCAGACAAAACUUAGAGCCCAUGUGAAGGAAAUGACUGAAGGAAAGGAAUUAGAUUACGACUGCCUUGCUCAACUGCAUUAUUUGGAAGGAUUUUUGCUAGAAACUUUACGUAUGUUCCCUCCAUUGGCGCGAGUUGACCGAGUGUGUACUAAACAAUACACCAUACCUGGAACAUCUAUAAAACUGAACCCUGGUAAUGUGAUAGCCAUACCUCUGUAUGGUAUUCACAUGGACCCAGAAUAUUACCCAGACCCGCAAGAAUUCAAGCCAGAACGAUUCAUGAAUGAAGACAAGAAGGACAGAGCCUCGCAUUUGUAUCUGGCAUUUGGUGCUGGCCCUAGAAAUUGUAUAGGUCUGAGAUUCGCCAUGUUAUCAGCAAAAUUGGCCAUGGUUGAACUUAUUAAGAACUUUAAAUUCUCGACUUGCGAGAAGACAGUAGAUCCGAUUCAGUUCGAUAAACGGUCACUGUUGUUGAAGGCGCAGGGAGGCUUGUGGGUUCGCAUUGAAAAACUCUAAUGGAGCCUACAGUUUAUAACUUGACCUCUCUGAAGUCCGCCAUUCGAUGCCUCGCGCAUGCAUCAGCUCAGAGAGAGGCAGAAACAUAUAUGACGCUAGCUGUGUGUAAGAACUACACCAUUACCAAUUAUUUAGAAUUCGAAUAUUUUUAUACGUACAAAUACAUGUAAUUUGAAGUAUGCAUUUCUAGCUUUCUAUAAUUUUAUAAAGUACAAACGAAAAUAGCAGUUCCUAUAAUCGGGUUUCAUAAGAGAUUUCAUAAUAAUUUUAUCGACAAUUUGUAGGCUCGUGAUCCGCGUAUACACCAUAAUUUUGGUUGCGUGCCGUGCAUCGGUAGAUACAUUUACAAAAAUGAUUAGCUUAUAAAUACUCAUUUAAUAUUUUAGAGGAAACAACAGUAUUUUAGUGUUAUCGUUUUUUAAGUAAUCUAGACCACUGGCCUUUGCUACUCAGCAAUUUAGUUAAUGAACAAUAAAUAGUGUACCACUGUACUCCAUAUUAUAAGUAAAAUGUUUUAAUGAUAGUUUUUGUGAAGGAGAUUUUACAUGUAGCUAACAUAAUCGAAACUGGAUAUUAGUGGAUAUUUACUCAAUUUAUAAAAUAUUGAUGUCUUUGGGUACACAUAGUUGCGAACAAAACAUGAAUAUUUUUCAAAAAAUAAACACAAAUGUUAUUUUAAGACAUUACAUAAUAGAAAUAAGUUUUGAAUUAAUUUCAAUUAAUUAGGGGGAUUAAAAUAGGUGAUAGUAAAAUAUUGUUUAGGGUUAAAGGUCUAUUUAUAAAAUAAUUUGCGUACAUAAUAUAAAGUUACUUCCUCUAUUUUUGUUGUCUAGUAUCAGAUGUUUAUUGAACCUUCAUAAAUGCUGCUAUAAAAAAACCUAUUGUAUCUCUGAAGAUAGGCUCUACUGGUCUAAGAUCUUGAUGUUCUGGACCAAACCUCUGUACCAUCAAUCUGAAAUAAGUAAUAAAACUUAGAAGCUUAGAAAUUAUGUGAUAAAACAGUGCCAGGUCCAUACUCAGUACAAAAAGGCAUUCGUUUUGAAUUGCACUUAAAUUAUUAUUGUUGUUAAUUUAUUAUAAAAUAUAUUUUACAUAACAAAACGAUUCUUGCCAACUCAAAGGAUAAUGUAUUUUUAUUAAUUUAUAAUAAAACAUUUAUAAUGUA
This 2931-nucleotide unclassified non-coding RNA is filed under the name Helicoverpa zea (corn earworm). Its description in RNAcentral is "cytochrome P450 9e2-like, transcript variant X1". Lineage: Eukaryota; Metazoa; Arthropoda; Insecta; Lepidoptera; Noctuidae. The record is from RNAcentral.